Molecule: ribosomal RNA, 433 nt
Filed under: uncultured bacterium
Lineage: Bacteria
Description: partial 16S ribosomal RNA
Rfam family: Bacterial small subunit ribosomal RNA
Source: RNAcentral
AACGAACGCUGGCGGCAUGCCUAACACAUGCAAGUCGAACGAGACCUUCGGGUCUAGUGGCGCACGGGUGCGUAACGCGUGGGAACCUGCCCUUAGGUUCGGAAUAACUCCCCGAAAGGGGUGCUAAUACCGGUUAAUGUCUUCGGACCAAAGAUUUAUGGCCUUUGGAUGGGCCCGCGUUGGAUUAGCUAGUUGGUAGGGUAAAAGCCUACCAAGGCGACGAUCCAUAGCUGGUCUGAGAGGAUGAUCAGCCACACUGGGACUGAGACACGGCCCAGACUCCUACGGGAGGCAGCAGUGGGGAAUAUUGGACAAUGGGCGAAAGCCUGAUCCAGCAAUGCCGCGUGAGUGAUGAAGGCCUUAGGGUUGUAAAGCUCUUUUACCCGGGAUGAUAAUGACAGUACCGGGAGAAUAAGCACCGGCUAACUCCGUG